This 66-nucleotide transfer RNA is filed under the name Saccharomyces cerevisiae P301. RNAcentral describes it as "partial tRNA-Ser". It matches the Rfam family "tRNA", at positions 17 to 71 of the family's 71-position model. Rfam says of the family: Transfer RNA (tRNA) molecules are approximately 80 nucleotides in length. Their secondary structure includes four short double-helical elements and three loops (D, anti-codon, and T loops). The record is from RNAcentral. Lineage: Eukaryota; Fungi; Ascomycota; Saccharomycetes; Saccharomycetales; Saccharomycetaceae.
GGUUAAGGCGAAAGAUUAGAAAUCUUUUGGGCUUUGCCCGCGCAGGUUCGAGUCCUGCAGUUGUCG